GUAUAUAACGAACCUGAGAAGAGUGACUGCACUGGUAGAAGUGUGCAAAGCCGAAGAAGGUACUAGAAACAAAGCUAGCUACUACGAUGAGGAAGUGGACGCUCCCUUCCGCUCUUCUUCUCCUUUCUCUCCUCCUCCUAUUUGCAGAUCAAGGUCGCAAGCUUCAGGCAAAUGCCGAAGCUGAUUCUGACGAGCUUGUAGAUCCACCUAAGGUUGAGGACAAGAUCGGUGCCGUUCCUAACGGUCUUUCCACAGAUUCAGAUGUCGCCAAGAGGGAGGCGGAGUCGAUCUCGAAGAGAUCUCUUCGCAACAACGCGCAGAAGUUUGAGUUCCAGGCCGAAGUUUCUCGGCUUAUGGAUAUUCUCAUCAACUCUCUCUACAGCAACAAGGAUAUUUUCCUCAGGGAGUUGAUCUCUAAUGCUUCUGACGCGCUGGACAAGAUUAGGUUUCUCUCUCUCACCGAUAAGGAGAUUCUGGGGGAAGGUGAUACUGCCAAGCUCGAAAUCCAGAUUAAGUUGGACAAGGAGAAGAAAAUCCUUUCCAUCCGAGACAGGGGUAUUGGUAUGACAAAGGAGGAUUUAAUAAAGAAUUUGGGGACCAUAGCAAAAUCUGGAACCUCAGCGUUUCUUGAGAAAAUGCAAUCAAGUGGUGAUCUCAAUCUUAUUGGGCAGUUUGGAGUUGGUUUCUACUCUGUGUACCUUGUGGCUGACUAUGUUGAAGUAAUUAGCAAACAUAAUGACGAUAAACAGCAUGUGUGGGAAUCUAAAGCUGAUGGAGCAUUUGCGAUUUCUGAAGAUACAUGGAAUGAACCACUGGGACGUGGUACUGAGAUUAGGCUACACCUCAGAGAUGAAGCUGGGGAGUACUUGGAGGAGCAUAAGCUUAAGGAAUUGGUAAAAAAAUACUCUGAAUUUAUUAACUUCCCUAUUUAUCUCUGGGCAAGCAAAGAGGUUGAUGUGGAGGUCCCUGCUGAUGAAGAUGAUGAAUCAUCUGAAAGCAGCUCUGAGGAAGAAAAUAAAGAUGAUGAUGCUGAGAAAAGUGAAGAUGACGAAGAGAAGCCCAAGACAAAGACAGUGAAGGAAACGACUUAUGAAUGGGAACUUCUAAAUGAUGUGAAAGCUAUAUGGCUGCGAAAUCCAAAGGAGGUUUCAGAAGAAGAGUACACCAAAUUCUACCAUACUCUUGCCAAGGAUUUCGGUGAUGAGAAACCUUUAGCAUGGAGUCACUUCAAUGCUGAAGGCGAUGUUGAGUUCAAGGCAGUGCUUUUUGUGCCACCUAAAGCCCCUCAUGAUUUAUAUGAGAGUUAUUACAACUCUAACAAAUCCAAUCUGAAGUUGUAUGUUAGACGAGUAUUUAUUUCAGAUGAAUUUGAUGAACUGUUGCCUAAAUACCUCAGCUUCUUGAAGGGCCUUGUUGAUUCUGACACGUUGCCACUUAAUGUCUCCCGUGAAAUGCUUCAACAACACAGUAGCCUGAGGACAAUCAAGAAGAAACUUAUCAGGAAAGCCCUUGAUAUGAUCCGUAGGAUUGCUGAUGAGGAUCCAGAUGAGUCCACUGACAAAGAUAAGAAAGAAGAGGUAUCAUCUGACAAUGAUGAGAAAAGAGGUCAAUAUGCUAAGUUCUGGAAUGAGUUUGGAAAGUCCAUCAAACUUGGCAUCAUUGAAGAUGCUACUAACAGAAACCGUCUGGCAAAACUGCUGAGAGUUGAGACCUCAAAGUCUGAAGGUAAAUUGACGUCUCUUGAUCAGUACAUCUCCAGAAUGAAAUCUGGACAAAAGGAUAUCUUCUACAUAACUGGAACUAACAAAGAACAACUGGAAAAAUCUCCUUUCCUUGAGCGGCUUAGGAAGAAAAAUUACGAGGUUAUUUACUUCACUGAUCCAGUUGAUGAAUACUUGAUGCAAUAUCUUAUGGAUUAUGAAGACAAAAAAUUCCAAAAUGUGUCCAAGGAAGGUCUGAAAAUUGGAAAGGACGCCAAAGCCAAGGAACUAAAGGAAUCCUUCAAGGAUCUCACAAAGUGGUGGAAAAGUGCACUUUCCAGUGAAAAUGUUGAUGAUGUGAAGAUAUCCAACCGUUUGGAUAACACUCCUUGUGUGGUGGUGACUUCGAAAUUUGGUUGGAGUGCUAACAUGGAGAGAAUAAUGCAGGCACAAACUUUAUCAGAUGCUAGCAAGCAAGCAUACAUGCGUGGCAAGAGGGUUCUUGAAAUCAAUCCUAGGCACCCUAUUAUCAAGGAGCUCAGGGAGCGUGUAGUAAAGAACCCUGAGGAUGAGAGUGUGAAGCAAACAGCACAGCUGAUGUAUCAAACUGCUCUCUUUGAAAGUGGUUUCCUGCUAAAUGACCCCAAGGAUUUUGCAUCUCGCAUUUAUGACUCAGUGAAGUCCAGCUUGGAUAUUAGUCCUGAAGCAACUGUGGAAGAGGAGGAAGAAGCUGAAGAAGUUGAGGCCGAGAGUGAGGCAAAGGACGGUGCAUCUGCUGAUGCUGAUGUGAAGGACGAGUUGUAGAUUUUAAGGCGGACAUUUCCGUACUGACUUAAGUUCCCCUUUUCUUUGUUACUUGGUCUUUAGCAAUUUGAGAAGCCCCUUUCAGAAUGAUUUUUGCUUCCAUAAGAAAGUCUAAUAGAGAGAAACAUUAGUCGUAAGUUACUGUAGUCACUUUAUCCCAUGGAAUUUCGCUUAGCAUUUUAGUACACGGUUGAAGAAAAUUACGCUGUAUUUUUAUGUGGAAAACUGCAUCAUGGCUUAUUUACAAUGACCAGCAAACAUCCUUUAUCCCUUUUUUAUUUAUUCCAUGGUGUCCGAUGGCAUCACGUUGGGGCAAUAGAUCUACUGACACACCCCGUUGUGGGUAUUUAUCCAUC
This is a non-coding RNA of Arachis ipaensis, 2860 nucleotides long. NCBI's taxonomy places the organism in Eukaryota, Viridiplantae, Streptophyta, Magnoliopsida, Fabales, Fabaceae. The record is from RefSeq and is a predicted model, not a curated record.